GCCGGGUGUGGUGGCACGUGCCUGCAGUCCCAGCUACUUGGGAGGCUGAGGCUGGAGGAUCGCUUGAGUCCAGGAGUUCUGGGCUGUAGUGCGCUAUGCCAAUCGGGUGUUCACACUAAGUUCGGCAUCAAUAUGGUGACCUCCUGGGAGCGGGGGACCACCAGGUUGCCUAAGGAGGGGUGAACCGGCCCAGGUCAGAAACAGAGGAGGUCAAAACUCCCAUGCUGAUCAGUAGAGGGAUCGCGCCUGUGAAUAGUCACUGCACUCCAGCCUGGGCAACAGAGGGAAACCCCAUCUCU
RNAcentral lists this signal recognition particle RNA (299 nucleotides) under Cebus imitator (Panamanian white-faced capuchin). RNAcentral describes it as "Metazoan signal recognition particle RNA (ENSCCAG00000000501.1)". It matches the Rfam family "Metazoan signal recognition particle RNA". Rfam says of the family: The signal recognition particle (SRP) is a universally conserved ribonucleoprotein. It is involved in the co-translational targeting of proteins to membranes. Lineage: Eukaryota; Metazoa; Chordata; Mammalia; Primates; Cebidae. The record is from RNAcentral.